This 697-nucleotide ribosomal RNA is filed under the name uncultured Bacillota bacterium. Its description in RNAcentral is "bacterial SSU rRNA". It matches the Rfam family "Bacterial small subunit ribosomal RNA", at positions 72 to 791 of the family's 1533-position model. Lineage: Bacteria; Bacillati; Bacillota. The record is from RNAcentral.
AGGCCCUUUCGGGGGUACUUCAGUGGCGGACGGCUGAGUAAUGCAUAGGUAACGUGCCUCUUACUGGGGGAUAACACCGGGAAACUGGUGCUAAUACCGCAUAAGUGGUGAGCUGAAAUGCUUGCCAUUAAAGAUUUUUCGGUAAAGGAUCGGCCUGUGUCGGAUUAGCUUGUUGGUGGGGUAAUGGCCUACCAAGGCGACGAUCCGUAGUUGGUCUGAGAGGAUGACCAGCCAGAGUGGGACUGAGACACGGCCCACACUCCUACGGGAGGCAGCAGUAGGGAAUAUUGCGCAAUGGGCGAAAGCCUGACGCAGCAACACCGCGUGUAGGAUGAAGGUUUUCGGAUCGUAAACUACUGUCGGCAGGGAAUAUAAUGACUGUACCUGCAAAGGAAGCAUCGGCUAACUACGUGCCAGCAGCCGCGGUAAUACGUAGGAUGCAAGCGUUGUCCGGAAUUAUUGGGCGUAAAGAGUUCGUAGGUGGUUAUCUAAGUCUGGUGUUAAAGCCCGGAGCUCAACUCCGGCAUGGCAUUGGAAACUGGAUGGCUAGAGUGUGGAAGAGGUAACUGGAAUUCCUGGUGUAGCGGUGAAAUGCGCAGAUAUCANGAGGAACACCCGUGGCGAAAGCGAGUUACUGGUCCAUUACUGACACUGAGGAACGAAAGCCAGGGUAGCAAAAGGGAUUAGAUACCCCUGU